Molecule: unclassified non-coding RNA, 238 nt
Filed under: fungal sp.
Lineage: Eukaryota; Fungi
Description: partial internal transcribed spacer region
Rfam family: Eukaryotic small subunit ribosomal RNA (bases 1-46)
Source: RNAcentral
AAGUCGUAACAAGGUCUCCGUUGGUGAACCAGCGGAGGGAUCAUUACUGCUUGCUUACGGUUUCGUUCGGGCAACCGAGCGGGGCCGGGCACGCUACCCUUGCUUAUGUAUACCUAUUGUUAUUCCCUCGGCGGGGAGACCCGCCGCCGGGAUCAAUUAAACCCUUUUGUAUAAAGCAUCAAAACUUCUGAAAACAAAUUAAUAAUUACAACUUUUAACAAUGGAUCUCUUGGUUCUG